CAUUGUUGUUGUUGUUGUUGUUGUUGUUGUUGUUGUUGUUGUUGUUAUUCAGAAGAAGAACAACAACAACAACAGUCCAACAACAUCCCAA
Molecule: non-coding RNA, 91 nt
Organism: Podarcis lilfordi (Lilford's wall lizard)
Lineage: Eukaryota; Metazoa; Chordata; Lepidosauria; Squamata; Lacertidae
Source: the annotation of a GenBank genome assembly